CAGCAUCUGUAAUAUAUAAAUUCUUAUGUCAAUUGAAUAACAAUUUUUUUAAAUAAAUUGUAAUAUUACUUAUAGAAAAUUAUGUCGUUGAAUUAUUAUUUAAUAUUUUACGAUUGUACAAUCAUUAUAUUUUGUUUGUUUUGUUUUAUAUAUUUAAAUAUUUUAUUAAUUAUAAUGUGUUAACAUGAUAAGCUUAUAACGAAUAGGUACCUACGUAUUAUUACAAGUUUGAUAAUUAUAAUACCUACCGUCCUACCUAUAUAUUUAUAUUAUACAAAGUAUAAACAAAUUUGGAAAGCUCAAUCUACAAGCGCUCAACUUCCUGUUUCUCAACUUAUCUUUAUAAUUUAACGUAAUAAACAUUUUUACACUUAAAGCUUUGUAUUGUAGAAUAAAAGACUAACAUAAAUUUACCUACAUCGUACACAUUUUCUUAAGAAAAAUUCUAUGAUGUUUUUUCCGAUAUAGUGAUGUCAAAGUUCAAUAUUGUCCUCAUUAUCGUUCAUAUCACUACAAUUUUUAAUACAUAUUUUUGUAAGACCUUUUAAUAUAAUAAAUACUAAAAUACUUGAAAAGUAAUAACGAACAAUGAAGUAAGAAGUAACUACCUACCUAUAUGGCUAUAUAUAUAUAUAUACCUACUGAGUACUGGUAACUAGGUAACGGGCGAAUAUGACGGUGAUAUAAAAUGUUUUGAACUUAUAUUUAGAAACCUAAAUUUAAUUCAUUGAUUGUGCAUUCGUAAUUAUUCGGUAAUAUUAGAAACUACUGAACCAAUUGGUACCAAAUUUUACCCACAUAAUCCUCGAGAAUUGAAGGUUAUUUCACGUAAAUUGAAAAUAUUUUGAUGAUAUAAUAUAGAGUUGCCAUUGGAUACAGAAAUAAAAGAGAUAAAAAUAUUCUUAUAGGUUGUAACUGAAUUAUAUAGGUACCAUAAAGAGGACUGAUCAAAUAUGGCACGGUGCGGUUGAGCCAAAGUUUCUCCGGGAAAAUGUCCCAUCGCAGGCCAACCCGCCAAUAAUCGAAAAUCUGUAAAUUCAAGUACAAGUUGCAUAAACUUUAAGCUUAAUAAGAUCCGACAAAACUGUAUCUGAGACUGUAGUAGAUUAGUGUAACCUGACCGACAGUAUAUAAUACAGUGUGCUUAGGUACCUCGUUAUUCAUGGCCAUGUCGCCUUGAAACAAACCCGGUCUGACCUCCGGAUCGAUGUCCUCCACGGACAGGAGAUCAUCCACAUAUUCUCCUUUUAUGUAUCCAGCUGUAAAUUAUAAUUUUAAAAACACAUUUAUUAGAUUUUAAUUGAAUGAUGAAUGAUUUUAACUUAACAUUUUUAGUUAAAAAAAAAUGUCAUUGAAAUGGAUGUGUUCAAUUCAAUGAUCAUUGUACACCAAAAACAAAGACGAACUGUCAGCCUAAUCAGUAAACGUAUAUUUUCAUGAUAUAGUUUUUGAUAUUGCUAUUAAAAUUAUUUAUUUUACUAUAA
Aphis gossypii (cotton aphid) is the source of this 1484-nucleotide long non-coding RNA. RefSeq lists it as uncharacterized. The transcript has 2 exons. NCBI's taxonomy places the organism in Eukaryota, Metazoa, Arthropoda, Insecta, Hemiptera, Aphididae. The record is from RefSeq and is a predicted model, not a curated record.